This 184-nucleotide unclassified non-coding RNA is filed under the name uncultured fungus. RNAcentral describes it as "sequence contains ITS1". Lineage: Eukaryota; Fungi. The record is from RNAcentral.
UUGACUCGUUUGUAUAAUACUCGGAGAUGCGUAGUUCUAAAACAGAGUAUGCGGGCCGCCGGCGGGCGCCGCGGGUUUCCCCGGGGAGCGCCACGCCGAGGCAACGACGGUAGGUAAGAUUCACAGUGGUAUUACGGGAGUAUGACGUCCUGUAAUGAUCCCUCCGCUGGUUCACCAACGGAGA